This 72-nucleotide transfer RNA is filed under the name Camelus ferus (Wild Bactrian camel). It matches the Rfam family "tRNA". Rfam says of the family: Transfer RNA (tRNA) molecules are approximately 80 nucleotides in length. Their secondary structure includes four short double-helical elements and three loops (D, anti-codon, and T loops). The record is from Rfam by way of RNAcentral. Lineage: Eukaryota; Metazoa; Chordata; Mammalia; Artiodactyla; Camelidae.
GAUGGUAUAGCUCAGGGAUAGAGUGGUUGCCUAGCAUGCAUUAGGUCCUGGGUUCAACCCCCAGUACCUCCA